RNAcentral lists this ribosomal RNA (421 nucleotides) under uncultured bacterium. RNAcentral's name for it is "bacterial SSU rRNA". It matches the Rfam family "Bacterial small subunit ribosomal RNA", at positions 954 to 1372 of the family's 1533-position model. The record is from RNAcentral.
GCACAACGCGAAGAACCUUACCAGGCCUUGACAUGCAGAGAACUUUCCAGAGAUGGAUUGGUGCCUUCGGGAACUCUGACACAGGUGCUGCAUGGCUGUCGUCAGCUCGUGUCGUGAGAUGUUGGGUUAAGUCCCGUAACGAGCGCAACCCUUGUCCUUAGUUACCAGCACGUUAUGGUGGGCACUCUAAGGAGACUGCCGGUGACAAACCGGAGGAAGGUGGGGAUGGACGUCAAGUCAUCAUGGCCCUUACGGCCUGGGCUACACACGUGCUACAAUGGUCGGUACAGAGGGUUGCCAAGCCGCGAGGUGGAGCUAAUCUCACAAAACCGAUCGUAAGUCCGGAUCGCAGUCUGCAACUCGACUGCGUGAAGUCGGAAUCGCUAGUAAUCGCGAAUCAGAAUGUCGCGGUGAAUACGUU